CAGUCGCCACGGGAAUACGUAGGUGGCAAGCGUUGUCCGGAAUUAUUGGGCGUAAAGGGCUCGCAGGCGGUUUCUUAAGCCUGAUGUGAAAGCCCCCGGCUCAACCGGGGAGGGUCAUUGGAAACUGGGAAACUUGAGUGCAGAAGAGGAGAGUGGAGUUCCACGUGUAGCGGUGAAAUGCGUAGAGAUGUGGAGGAACACCAGUGGCGAAGGCGACUCUCUGGUCUGUAACUGACGCUGAGGAGCGAAAGCGUGGGGAGCGAACAGGAUUAGAUACCCCAGUAGUCCCUGUCUCUUAUAC
This 301-nucleotide ribosomal RNA is filed under the name uncultured bacterium. Its description in RNAcentral is "partial 16S ribosomal RNA". It matches the Rfam family "Bacterial small subunit ribosomal RNA", at positions 509 to 807 of the family's 1533-position model. The record is from RNAcentral.